RNAcentral lists this ribosomal RNA (3013 nucleotides) under Escherichia coli. RNAcentral describes it as "23S ribosomal RNA". It matches the Rfam family "Bacterial large subunit ribosomal RNA". The record is from RNAcentral. Lineage: Bacteria; Pseudomonadati; Pseudomonadota; Gammaproteobacteria; Enterobacterales; Enterobacteriaceae.
GGGUUGUGAGGUUAAGCGACUAAGCGUACACGGUGGAUGCCCUGGCAGUCAGAGGCGAUGAAGGACGUGCUAAUCUGCGAUAAGCGUCGGUGAGGUGAUAUGAACCGUUAUAACCGGCGAUUUCCGAAUGGGGAAACCCAGUGUGUUUCGACACACUAUCAUUAACUGAAUCCAUAGGUUAAUGAGGCGAACCGGGGGAACUGAAACAUCUAAGUACCCCGAGGAAAAGAAAUCAACCGAGAUUCCCCCAGUAGCGGCGAGCGAACGGGGAGGAGCCCAGAGCCUGAAUCAGUGUGUGUGUUAGUGGAAGCGUCUGGAAAGGCGCGCGAUACAGGGUGACAGCCCCGUACACAAAAAUGCACAUAUUGUGAGCUCGAUGAGUAGGGCGGGACACGUGGUAUCCUGUCUGAAUAUGGGGGGACCAUCCUCCAAGGCUAAAUACUCCUGACUGACCGAUAGUGAACCAGUACCGUGAGGGAAAGGCGAAAAGAACCCCGGCGAGGGGAGUGAAAAAGAACCUGAAACCGUGUACGUACAAGCAGUGGGAGCCUCUUAAUGGGGUGACUGCGUACCUUUUGUAUAAUGGGUCAGCGACUUAUAUUCUGUAGCAAGGUUAACCGAAUAGGGGAGCCGAAGGGAAACCGAGUCUUAACUGGGCGUUAAGUUGCAGGGUAUAGACCCGAAACCCGGUGAUCUAGCCAUGGGCAGGUUGAAGGUUGGGUAACACUAACUGGAGGACCGAACCGACUAAUGUUGAAAAAUUAGCGGAUGACUUGUGGCUGGGGGUGAAAGGCCAAUCAAACCGGGAGAUAGCUGGUUCUCCCCGAAAGCUAUUUAGGUAGCGCCUCGUGAAUUCAUCUCCGGGGGUAGAGCACUGUUUCGGCAAGGGGGUCAUCCCGACUUACCAACCCGAUGCAAACUGCGAAUACCGGAGAAUGUUAUCACGGGAGACACACGGCGGGUGCUAACGUCCGUCGUGAAGAGGGAAACAACCCAGACCGCCAGCUAAGGUCCCAAAGUCAUGGUUAAGUGGGAAACGAUGUGGGAAGGCCCAGACAGCCAGGAUGUUGGCUUAGAAGCAGCCAUCAUUUAAAGAAAGCGUAAUAGCUCACUGGUCGAGUCGGCCUGCGCGGAAGAUGUAACGGGGCUAAACCAUGCACCGAAGCUGCGGCAGCGACACUAUGUGUUGUUGGGUAGGGGAGCGUUCUGUAAGCCUGUGAAGGUGUNNNNNNNNNNNNNNNNNNNNNNNNNNNNNNNNNNNNNNNNNNNNNNNNNNNNNNNNNNNNNNNNNNNNNNNNNNNNNNNNNNNNNNNNNNNNNNNNGGUUGCUGGAGGUAUCAGAAGUGCGAAUGCUGACAUAAGUAACGAUAAAGCGGGUGAAAAGCCCGCUCGCCGGAAGACCAAGGGUUCCUGUCCAACGUUAAUCGGGGCAGGGUGAGUCGACCCCUAAGGCGAGGCCGAAAGGCGUAGUCGAUGGGAAACAGGUUAAUAUUCCUGUACUUGGUGUUACUGCGAAGGGGGGACGGAGAAGGCUAUGUUGGCCGGGCGACGGUUGUCCCGGUUUAAGCGUGUAGGCUGGUUUUCCAGGCAAAUCCGGAAAAUCAAGGCUGAGGCGUGAUGACGAGGCACUACGGUGCUGAAGCGACAAAUGCCCUGCUUCCAGGAAAAGCCUCUAAGCAUCAGGUAACAUCAAAUCGUACCCCAAACCGACACAGGUGGUCAGGUAGAGAAUACCAAGGCGCUUGAGAGAACUCGGGUGAAGGAACUAGGCAAAAUGGUGCCGUAACUUCGGGAGAAGGCACGCUGAUAUGUAGGUGAAGCGACUUGCUCGUGGAGCUGAAAUCAGUCGAAGAUACCAGCUGGCUGCAACUGUUUAUUAAAAACACAGCACUGUGCAAACACGAAAGUGGACGUAUACGGUGUGACGCCUGCCCGGUGCCGGAAGGUUAAUUGAUGGGGUUAGCGGUAACGCGAAGCUCUUGAUCGAAGCCCCGGUAAACGGCGGCCGUAACUAUAACGGUCCUAAGGUAGCGAAAUUCCUUGUCGGGUAAGUUCCGACCUGCACGAAUGGCGUAAUGAUGGCCAGGCUGUCUCCACCCGAGACUCAGUGAAAUUGAACUCGCUGUGAAGAUGCAGUGUACCCGCGGCAAGACGGAAAGACCCCGUGAACCUUUACUAUAGCUUGACACUGAACAUUGAGCCUUGAUGUGUAGGAUAGGUGGGAGGCUUUGAAGUGUGGACGCCAGUCUGCAUGGAGCCGACCUUGAAAUACCACCCUUUAAUGUUUGAUGUUCUAACGUGGGCCCCUUACCGGGGUUGCGGACAGUGUCUGGUGGGUAGUUUGACUGGGGCGGUCUCCUCCUAAAGAGUAACGGAGGAGCACGAAGGUUGGCUAAUCCUGGUCGGACAUCAGGAGGUUAGUGCAAUGGCAUAAGCCAGCUUGACUGCGAGCGUGACGGCGCGAGCAGGUGCGAAAGCAGGUCAUAGUGAUCCGGUGGUUCUGAAUGGAAGGGCCAUCGCUCAACGGAUAAAAGGUACUCCGGGGAUAACAGGCUGAUACCGCCCAAGAGUUCAUAUCGACGGCGGUGUUUGGCACCUCGAUGUCGGCUCAUCACAUCCUGGGGCUGAAGUAGGUCCCAAGGGUAUGGCUGUUCGCCAUUUAAAGUGGUACGCGAGCUGGGUUUAGAACGUCGUGAGACAGUUCGGUCCCUAUCUGCCGUGGGCGCUGGAGAACUGAGGGGGGCUGCUCCUAGUACGAGAGGACCGGAGUGGACGCAUCACUGGUGUUCGGGUUGUCAUGCCAAUGGCACUGCCCGGUAGCUAAAUGCGGAAGAGAUAAGUGCUGAAAGCAUCUAAGCACGAAACUUGCCCCGAGAUGAGUUCUCCCUGACUCCUUGAGAGUCCUGAAGGAACGUUGAAGACGACGACGUUGAUAGGCCGGGUGUGUAAGCGCAGCGAUGCGUUGAGCUAACCGGUACUAAUGAACCGUGAGGCUUAACCUUACAACGCCGAAG